GCGCACCAGGCGAGAAUACUCUACAAUAAGCGAAAGCUUGACAGGGUUAUUCUGAGUGAUUUCCGCUAAGGAAAUCUUUUGGCACCUCUAAAAAUGGUGCAGAAUAAGGGGUGGGCAAGUCUGGUGUCAGCCGCCGCGGUAAUACCAGCACCCCGAGUGGUCGGGACGUUUAUUGGGCCUAAAGCAUCCGUAGCCGGUUCUACAAGUCUUCCGUUAAAUCCACCUGCUUAACAGAUGGGCUGCGGAAGAUACUAUAGAGCUAGGAGGCGGGAGAGGCAAGCGGUACUCGAUGGGUAGGGGUAAAAUCCGUUGAUCCAUUGAAGACACCAGUGGCGAAGGCGGCUUGCCAGAACGCGCUCGACGGUGAGGGAUGAAAGCUGGGGGAGCAAACCGGAUUAGAUACCCCCGGUAGU
RNAcentral lists this ribosomal RNA (413 nucleotides) under uncultured archaeon. RNAcentral describes it as "bacterial SSU rRNA". It matches the Rfam family "Archaeal small subunit ribosomal RNA", at positions 330 to 745 of the family's 1478-position model. The record is from RNAcentral.